CCACCGCCUACAGUGUUUUCAGCCCGACUACAGUGUUUUCAGCCACUAGUUGGGCUUCAAUCUUGGCUCUCUAGUUCGCUAGUUUAGCUUAAUUUUUAGCCUAAACCAACUCUGACUUUGGGCCCAGUUGGCCCCUAACCAGGAUAUAGGAUUAUCUCUUAAUCCUAAUCCUAAUUACAAGUGGACUACAUAACCAAAACACAUCCUAAGCAAAUUUUCAACCGCGAACGUCGAGUCUUGUUCUGGCGAGCUUUCCGACGAACUUUCUGCCGAUGGGCUUCUAGCAAGCUCCCGAACUUGUGAUGACUUUAAUGAGUAGCCGAGCCUUCUCGGUGAUCUCCGUGAACCUCCGACGAUCUCUU
RNAcentral lists this long non-coding RNA (362 nucleotides) under Musa acuminata (dwarf banana). Its description in RNAcentral is "long non-coding RNA (MACU_LNC009743)". Lineage: Eukaryota; Viridiplantae; Streptophyta; Magnoliopsida; Zingiberales; Musaceae. The record is from RNAcentral.